AUGAAAAUAUUAUGUUGGAACUGUCGUGGGAUGAGGAAGCCCACGGCAGUUCGUGCACUCUUGGGGGUCCAAGGGCGGGUGAGGCCGGAUGUGAUUUUUUUGUCUGAAGCUCAUCUGUGUAAAGCUAAGGCAGAAAGGUUGAGGAGGAGACUCGGUUUUGAUAGCUUGGCAGUAGCGGAAAGUGAUGGAAGAAGCAGUGGUCUAGUGAUGUUC
This 213-nucleotide ribosomal RNA is filed under the name Triticum aestivum (bread wheat). RNAcentral's name for it is "partial small subunit ribosomal RNA". Lineage: Eukaryota; Viridiplantae; Streptophyta; Magnoliopsida; Poales; Poaceae. The record is from RNAcentral.